UUAAAUUGAAGAGUUUGAUCAUGGCUCAGAUUGAACGCUGGCGGCAGGCCUAACACAUGCAAGUCGAACGGUAACAGGAAGCAGCUUGCUGCUUCGCUGACGAGUGGCGGACGGGUGAGUAAUGUCUGGGAAACUGCCUGAUGGAGGGGGAUAACUACUGGAAACGGUGGCUAAUACCGCAUAACGUCGCAAGACCAAAGAGGGGGACCUUUGGGCCUCUUGCCAUCAGAUGUGCCCAGAUGGGAUUAGCUUGUUGGUGAGGUAACGGCUCACCAAGGCGACGAUCCCUAGCUGGUCUGAGAGGAUGACCAGCCACACUGGAACUGAGACACGGUCCAGACUCCUACGGGAGGCAGCAGUGGGGAAUAUUGCACAAUGGGCGCAAGCCUGAUGCAGCCAUGCCGCGUGUAUGAAGAAGGCCU
RNAcentral lists this ribosomal RNA (422 nucleotides) under Salmonella enterica subsp. enterica serovar Enteritidis. RNAcentral's name for it is "bacterial SSU rRNA". It matches the Rfam family "Bacterial small subunit ribosomal RNA", at positions 1 to 417 of the family's 1533-position model. Lineage: Bacteria; Pseudomonadati; Pseudomonadota; Gammaproteobacteria; Enterobacterales; Enterobacteriaceae. The record is from RNAcentral.